RNAcentral lists this ribosomal RNA (253 nucleotides) under uncultured bacterium. RNAcentral describes it as "partial 16S ribosomal RNA". It matches the Rfam family "Bacterial small subunit ribosomal RNA", at positions 524 to 776 of the family's 1533-position model. The record is from RNAcentral.
UACGGAGGGUGCAAACGUUGCUCGGAAUCAUUGGGCGUAAAGCGCACGUAGGCGGCGCGUUAAGUCGGAUGUGAAAGCCCCGGGCUCAACCCGGGAAGUGCUUACGAAACUGGCGCGCUUGAAUAUGGAAGAGGGUCGCGGAAUUCCCGGUGUAGAGGUGAAAUUCGUAGAUAUCGGGAGGAACACCAGUGGCGAAGGCGGCGACCUGGGCCAAUAUUGACGCUGAGGUGCGAAAGCGUGGGGAGCAAACAGG